GACGAACGCUGGCGGCGUGCCUAAACAUGCAAGUCGAACGGAACUUCGGUUCAGUGGCGAACGGCGGAGUAAUACAUGAGCAACGUGCCCCUAUGACUGGGAUAUACAGAGGAAACUCUGGGCAAUACCGGAUGUGGCUAUUCCUUGGCAUCUUGGAAUAACUAAACGGAUUUAUUCGCAUAGGGAGCGGCUCAUGACCCAUCAGGUAGUUGGUAGGGUAAUGGCCUACCAAGCCGACGACGGGUAGCGGGUCUGAGAGGAUGAUCCGCCCGAGUGGGACUGAGACACGGCCCACACACCUACGGGUGGCAGCAGUUGGGAAUCUUGCACAAUGGGGGAAACCCGUAGAUGCAGCGACGCCGCGUGGACGAUGAAGGGUUUAGGCCUGUAAAGUCCUUUUACCAGGAAAGACUUAGGACGGUACCUGGUGAAUAAGCUCCGGCUAACUACGUG
RNAcentral lists this ribosomal RNA (453 nucleotides) under uncultured bacterium. RNAcentral describes it as "bacterial SSU rRNA". It matches the Rfam family "Bacterial small subunit ribosomal RNA", at positions 28 to 507 of the family's 1533-position model. The record is from RNAcentral.